CUCGGAAGCUAAGCAGGGUCGGGCCUGCUUAGUAUCUUGGAUGGGAGACCACCUGGGAAUCCCGGGUGCUCGAGG
RNAcentral lists this ribosomal RNA (75 nucleotides) under Bison bison bison. The record is from RNAcentral. Lineage: Eukaryota; Metazoa; Chordata; Mammalia; Artiodactyla; Bovidae.